Oncorhynchus tshawytscha (Chinook salmon) is the source of this 972-nucleotide long non-coding RNA. Lineage: Eukaryota; Metazoa; Chordata; Actinopteri; Salmoniformes; Salmonidae. The record is from Ensembl.
CCCCAGCCCAGAUUAACAGAACAGUAUAAGGUAGAACCAGCCCCAGCCCAGACUAAAUGAUGAGUAUGACGUAGAACCAGCUCCAGCCCAGACUAACAGAACAGUAUGAGGUAGAACCAGCCCCAGCCCAGAAGAAAUGAACAGGAAGAAGUAGAACCAGCCCCAGCGCAGACUAACAGAACAGUACUAGGUAGAACCAGCCCCAGCCCAGACUAACAGAACAGUAUGACAUAGAACCAGCCUCAGCCCAGACUAACAGAACAGCAUGAGGUAGAACCAGUCCCAGCCCAGAAUAACAGAACAGCAUGAUGUAGAACCAGCCCCAGCCCAGACUAAGAGAACAGUAUGAGGUAGAACCAGCCCAGACUAACAGAACAGCAUGAGGUAGAAUCAGCCAAGACUAAAAUAACAGUAUGUGGUAGUACCAACCCAGACCCAGACUAACAGAACAGCAUGAGGUAGACCCAGCCCCAGCCCAGACUAACAGAACAGUAUGAGGUAGAACCACCCCCAGUGCAGACUAACAGAACAGUAUGUGGUAGUACCAAACCCAGCCCAGACUAACAGAACAGUAUGUGGUAGUACCAGCCCCAGCCCAGACUAACAGAACAGCAUGAGGUAGAACCAGCCCCAGCCCAGAAUAACAGAACAGCAUGAUGUAGAACCAGCCCCAGCCCAGACUAAAAGAACAGUAUGAGGUAGAACCACCCCCAGCGCAGACUAACAGAACAGUAUGAGGGAGAAUCAGCCAAGACUAAAAUAACAGUAUGUGGUUGUACCAACCCAGACCCAGACUAACAGAAUAGCAUGAGGUAGACCCAGCCCCAGCCCAGACUAACAGAACAGUAUGACGUAGAACCCGCCCCAGCCCAGACUAACAGAACAGUAUGAGGUAGAACCACCCCAGCGCAGACUAACAGAACAGUAUGAGGGAGAACCAGCCACAGCCCAGACUAACAGAACAGUAUGAGG